GAUGAACGCUGGCGGCGUGCUUAACACAUGCAAGUCGAACGAUGAAGCCCAGCUUGCUGGGUGGAUUAGUGGCGAACGGGUGAGUAACACGUGAGUAACCUGCCCUUGACUCUAGGAUAAGCCCGGGAAACUGGGUCUAAUACUGGAUAGGAACGUCUACCGCAUGGUGGGUGUUGGAAAGAAUUUCGGUCAUGGAUGGACUCGCGGCCUAUCAGCUUGUUGGUGAGGUAAUGGCUCACCAAGGCGACGACGGGUAGCCGGCCUGAGAGGGUGACCGGCCACACUGGGACUGAGACACGGCCCAGACUCCUACGGGAGGAAGCAGUGGGGAAUAUUGCACAAUGGGCGAAAGCCUGAUGCAGCGACGCCGCGUGAGGGAUGACGGCCUUCGGGUUGUAAACCUCUUUCAGUAGGGAAGAAGCGAAAGUGACGGUACCUGCAGAAGAAGCACCGGCUAACUACGUG
This 465-nucleotide ribosomal RNA is filed under the name uncultured bacterium. RNAcentral describes it as "partial 16S ribosomal RNA". It matches the Rfam family "Bacterial small subunit ribosomal RNA", at positions 28 to 507 of the family's 1533-position model. The record is from RNAcentral.